This 477-nucleotide ribosomal RNA is filed under the name uncultured Rhodocyclaceae bacterium. RNAcentral describes it as "bacterial SSU rRNA". It matches the Rfam family "Bacterial small subunit ribosomal RNA", at positions 904 to 1382 of the family's 1533-position model. The record is from RNAcentral. Lineage: Bacteria; Pseudomonadati; Pseudomonadota; Betaproteobacteria; Rhodocyclales; Rhodocyclaceae.
CAAGGAAUUGACGGGACCGCACAAGCGUGGAUGAUGUGGAUUAAUUCGAUGCAACGCGAAAACCUUACCUACCCUUGACAUGUCCGGAACCCCGAAGAGAUUUGGGAGUGCUCGCAAGAGAACCGGAACACAGGUGCUGCAUGGCUGUCGUCAGCUCGUGUCGUGAGAUGUUGGGUUAAGUCCCGCAACGAGCGCAACCCUUGUCAUUAGUUGCCAUCAUUUGGUUGGGGCACUCUAAUGAGACUGCCGGUGACAAACCGGAGGAAGGUGGGGAUGACGUCAAGUCCUCAUGGCCCUUAUGGGUAGGGCUUCACACGUCAUACAAUGGUCGGUACAGAGGGUUGCCAACCCGCGAGGGGGAGCUAAUCCCACAAAGCCGAUCGUAGUCCGGAUCGCAGUCUGCAACCCGACUGCGUGAAGUCGGAAUCGCUAGUAAUCGUGGAUCAGCAUGUCACGGUGAAUACGUUCCCGGGUCUU